GAGUUUGAUCAUGGCUCAGAUUGAACGCUGGCGGUAGGCUUAACACAUGCAAGUCGUGCGAGAAAGUAUCUUCGGAUAUGAGUAGAGCGGCGGACGGGUGAGUAACGCGUAGGAAUCUACCUAGUAGAAGGGGAUAGCCCGGGGAAACCCGGAUUAAUACCGUAUACCUCCUUCGGGAGAAAGAAGGCCUCUCUUUGAAGCUUUCGCUACUAGAUGAGCCUGCGUAAGAUUAGCUUGUUGGUGAGGUAAAGGCUCACCAAGGCGACGAUCUUUAGCUGGUCUGAGAGGACGAUCAGCCACAUUGGGACUGAGACACGGCCCAGACUCCUACGGGAGGCAGCAGUGGGGAAUAUUGGACAAUGGGCGCAAGCCUGAUCCAGCCAUACCGCGUGUGUGAAGAAGGCCUUCGGGUUGUAAAGCACUUUAAGCAGGGAGAAAAAGUUAUAAGUUAAUACCUUAUAACCCUGAUGUUACCUGCAGAAUAAGCACCGGCUAAUUCCGUGCCAGCAGCCGCGGUAAUACGGAAGGUGCAAGCGUUAAUCGGAAUUACUGGGCGUAAAGCGCGCGUAGGUGGUUUGUUAAGUUGGAUGUGAAAGCCCUGGGCUUAACCUAGGAACUGCAUCCAAAACUAACUCACUAGAGUACGAUAGAGGGAGGUAGAAUUCAUAGUGUAGCGGUGGAAUGCGUAGAUAUUAUGAAGAAUACCAGUGGCGAAAGCGGCCUCCUGGAUCUGUACUGACACUGAGGUGCGAAAGCGUGGGUAGCGAACAGGAUUAGAUACCCUGGUAGUCCACGCCGUAACGAUGACAACUAGCCGUUGGGAGACAUGUCUUUCAGUGGCGCAGCUAACGUUUUAAGUGUCGCCUGGGGAGUACGCCGCAGCUAAACUCAAUGAAUGACGGGACCGCACAGCGUGAGCAUGUGUUUAUCGAUGCACGCGAAAACUACUACUCUGACAUACUGGGAGCUCUGUAUGAGAGUGUGCCUAUGACAGAUACAGGUGCUGCAUGCUGUCGUCAGCUCGGUCCUGGAAUGUUCGUAGUCGGAUACGAGCCCACCCUUACCCUUAUUGCAGGAAUUCGUCGGCACCAUUAAGGACUGCGGCGUUAUAACCCGAAGAAAAAGG
This 1126-nucleotide ribosomal RNA is filed under the name uncultured marine bacterium. RNAcentral's name for it is "bacterial SSU rRNA". It matches the Rfam family "Bacterial small subunit ribosomal RNA", at positions 9 to 1176 of the family's 1533-position model. The record is from RNAcentral.